GACGAACGCUGGCGGCGUGCUUAACACAUGCAAGUCGAACGGAAAGGCCCUGCUUUUGUGGGGUGCUCGAGUGGCGAACGGGUGAGUAACGCGUGAGUAACCUGCCCUUGACUUUGGGAUAACUUCAGGAAACUGGGGCUAAUACCGGAUAGGAGCUCCUGCUGCAUGGUGGGGGUUGGAAAGUUUCGGCGGUUGGGGAUGGACUCGCGGCUUAUCAGCUUGUUGGUGGGGUAGUGGCUUACCAAGGCUUUGACGGGUAGCCGGCCUGAGAGGGUGACCGGCCACAUUGGGACUGAGAUACGGCCCAGACUCCUACGGGAGGCAGCAGUGGGGAAUAUUGCACAAUGGGCGGAAGCCUGAUGCAGCAACGCCGCGUGCGGGAUGACGGCCUUCGGGUUGUAAACCGCUUUCGCCUGUGACGAAGCGUGAGUGACGGUAAUGGGUAAAGAAGCACCGGCUAACUACGUGCCAGCAGCCGCGGUGAUACGUAGGGUGCGAGCGUUGUCCGGAUUUAUUGGGCGUAAAGGGCUCGUAGGUGGUUGAUCGCGUCGGAAGUGUAAUCUUGGGGCUUAACCCUGAGCGUGCUUUCGAUACGGGUUGACUUGAGGAAGGUAGGGGAGAAUGGAAUUCCUGGUGGAGCGGUGGAAUGCGCAGAUAUCAGGAGGAACACCAGUGGCGAAGGCGGUUCUCUGGGCCUUUCCUGACGCUGAGGAGCGAAAGCGUGGGGAGCGAACAGGCUUAGAUACCCUGGUAGUCCACGCUGUAAACGGUGGGUACUAGGUGUGGGGUCCAUUCCACGGGUUCCGUGCCGUAGCUAACGCUUUAAGUACCCCGCCUGGGGAGUACGGCCGCAAGGCUAAAACUCAAAGGAAUUGACGGGGCCCCGCACAAGCGGCGGAGCAUGCGGAUUAAUUCGAUGCAACGCGUAGAACCUUACCUGGGUUUGACAUGGAUCGGGAGCGCUCAGAGAUGGGUGUGCCUCUUUUGGGGUCGGUUCACAGGUGGUGCAUGGCUGUCGUCAGCUCGUGUCGUGAGAUGUUGGGUUAAGUCCCGCAACGAGCGCAACCCUUGUUCACUGUUGCCAGCACGUUAUGGUGGGGACUCAGUGGAGACCGCCGGGGUCAACUCGGAGGAAGGUGGGGAUGACGUCAAGUCAUCAUGCCCCUUAUGUCCAGGGCUUCACGCAUGCUACAAUGGCUGGUACAGAGAGUGGCGAGCCUGUGAGGGUGAGCGAAUCUCGGAAAGCCGGUCUCAGUUCGGAUUGGGGUCUGCAACUCGACCUCAUGAAGUCGGAGUCGCUAGUAAUCGCAGAUCAGCAACGCUGCGGUGAAUACGUUCCCGGG
RNAcentral lists this ribosomal RNA (1343 nucleotides) under uncultured bacterium. RNAcentral describes it as "16S ribosomal RNA". It matches the Rfam family "Bacterial small subunit ribosomal RNA", at positions 28 to 1378 of the family's 1533-position model. The record is from RNAcentral.